RNAcentral lists this ribosomal RNA (920 nucleotides) under uncultured bacterium. Its description in RNAcentral is "bacterial SSU rRNA". It matches the Rfam family "Bacterial small subunit ribosomal RNA", at positions 367 to 1401 of the family's 1533-position model. The record is from RNAcentral.
GUCAUGGGCGAGAGCCUGAACCAGCCAUCCCGCGUGCAGGAACGCCAAGUGCCCUAUGGGUUGUAAACUGCUUUUACGCAAGAAGAAUGGUACCCUCGUGAGGGUAUUUGACGGUACUGCGUGAAUAAGCACCGGCUAACUCCGUGCCAGCAGCCGCGGUAAUACGGAGGGUGCAAGCGUUAUCCGGAUUUAUUGGGUUUAAAGGGUGCGUAGGCGGUAUUAUAAGUCAGUGGUGAAAUGUUGCAGCUUAACUGUAAAAUUGCCAUUGAAACUGCAGUACUUGAGUUAUCUUGAAGUAGGCGGAAUGUGUAGUGUAGCGGUGAAAUGCUUAGAUAUUACACAGAACACCGAUUGCGAAGGCAGCUUACUAAGGGUAAACUGACGCUGAGGCACGAAAGCGUGGGGAUCGAACAGGAUUGACCCGGGGGCCCCGCACGUAAGCGGAUGAUACACUCGUGGUUGAAUUCGAUGAUACGCGAGGAACCUUACCUGGGGGCUUAAAUGUGCUAUGACCGCCUGGAGAAAUUCGGCUUUUCGCAAGAACAGAGUACAAGGUGCUGCAUGGUUGUCGUCAGCUCGUGCCGUGAGGUGUCGGGUUAAGUCCCAUAACGAGCGCAACCCUUAUUGUCAGUUGCUAACAGGUUAAGCUGAGGACUCUGGCGAGACUGCCACCGUAAGGUGUGAGGAAGGUGGGGAUGACGUCAAAUCAGCACGGCCCUUAUGUCCAGGGCUACACACGUGUUACAAUGGCCGAUACAAAGGGCAGCUACCAGGCGACUGGAUGCUAAUCUCUAAAGUCGGUCUCAGUUCGGAUCGAAGUCUGCAACCCGACUUCGUGAAGCUGGAUUCACUAGUAAUCGCGCAUCAGCCAUGGCGCGGUGAAUACGUUCCCGGGCCUUGUACACACCGAUACCGAUAUG